GUCUUUUUGAGUUAUUUUUAAAGUCUGACCUGCCCACUGAAUAUUUUUAAAUGGCCGCAGUAUUCUAACUGUGCAAAGGUAGCAUAAUCAUUAGUCUUUUAAUUGAAGGCUGGUAUGAACGGUUGGACGAAGUAUAAGCUGUUUCAUAUAAAAUUAUAUUAGAAUUUUAUAUUUUAGUUAAAAAGCUAAAAUAUUAUUAAAAGACGAGAAGACCCUAUAAAUCUUUAUAUUUAAUAUUAUUCAAAUUUUUUUGAUUAAUUUUAUUUUUAUAAUAUUAAAUAUUUUGUUGGGGUGAUAUUAAAAUUUUAUAAACUUUUAAUUUUGAAUUAGAACAUUAAUUUAUGAAUAGUUGAUCCAUUAUUAAUGAUUAUAAGAUUAAGUUACUUUAGGGAUAACAGCGUAAUUUUUUUUGAGAGUUCAUAUCGACAAAAAAGUUUGCGACCUCGAUGUUGGAUUAAGAUAUAUAUUUAGGUGUAGCCGUUUAAAUAUUAAGUCUGUUCGACUUUUAAAUUCUUACAUGAUCUGAGUUCAAACCGGAG
This 539-nucleotide ribosomal RNA is filed under the name Ceratitis rosa (Natal fruit fly). Its description in RNAcentral is "partial 16S ribosomal RNA". The stretch from base 391 to 539 matches the Rfam family "Bacterial large subunit ribosomal RNA", at positions 2473 to 2621 of the family's 2925-position model. Lineage: Eukaryota; Metazoa; Arthropoda; Insecta; Diptera; Tephritidae. The record is from RNAcentral.